UACGUAGGGUGCAAGCGUUAAUCGGAAUUACUGGGCGUAAAGCGUGCGCAGGCGGUUUUGUAAGUCUGUCGUGAAAUCCCCGGGCUCAACCUGGGAAUUGCGUUGGAGACUGCAAGGCUAGAAUCUGGCAGAGGGGGGUAGAAUUCCACGUGUAGCAGUGAAAUGCGUAGAGAUGUGGAGGAACACCGAUGGCGAAGGCAGCCCCCUGGGUCAAGAUUGACGCUCAUGCACGAAAGCGUGGGGAGCAAACAGG
RNAcentral lists this ribosomal RNA (253 nucleotides) under uncultured bacterium. Its description in RNAcentral is "partial 16S ribosomal RNA". It matches the Rfam family "Bacterial small subunit ribosomal RNA", at positions 524 to 776 of the family's 1533-position model. The record is from RNAcentral.